RNAcentral lists this ribosomal RNA (1346 nucleotides) under uncultured bacterium. Its description in RNAcentral is "bacterial SSU rRNA". It matches the Rfam family "Bacterial small subunit ribosomal RNA", at positions 28 to 1381 of the family's 1533-position model. The record is from RNAcentral.
GACGAACGUUGGCGGCGUGCUUAACACAUGCAAGUCGAACGGAAAGGCCCUGCUUUUGUGGGGUGCUCGAGUGGCGAACGGGUGAGUAACACGUGAGUAACCUGCCCUUGACUUUGGGAUAACUUCAGGAAACUGGGGCUAAUACCGGAUAGGAGCUCCUGCUGCAUGGUGGGGGUUGGAAAGUUUCGGCGGUUGGGGAUGGACUCGCGGCUUAUCAGCUUGUUGGUGGGGUAGUGGCUUACCAAGGCUUUGACGGGUAGCCGGCCUGAGAGGGUGACCGGCCACAUUGGGACUGAGAUACGGCCCAGACUCCUACGGGAGGCAGCAGUGGGGAAUAUUGCACAAUGGGCGGAAGCCUGAUGCAGCAACGCCGCGUGCGGGAUGACGGCCUUCGGGUUGUAAACCGCUUUCGCCUGUGACGAAGCGUGAGUGACGGUAAUGGGUAAAGAAGCACCGGCUAACUACGUGCCAGCAGCCGCGGUGAUACGUAGGGUGCGAGCGUUGUCCGGAUUUAUUGGGCGUAAAGGGCUCGUAGGUGGUUGAUCGCGUCGGAAGUGUAAUCUUGGGGCUUAACCCUGAGCGUGCUUUCGAUACGGGUUGACUUGAGGAAGGUAGGGGAGAAUGGAAUUCCUGGUGGAGCGGUGGAAUGCGCAGAUAUCAGGAGGAACACCAGUGGCGAAGGCGGUUCUCUGGGCCUUUCCUGACGCUGAGGAGCGAAAGCGUGGGGAGCGAACAGGCUUAGAUACCCUGGUAGUCCACGCUGUAAACGGUGGGUACUAGGUGUGGGGUCCAUUCCACGGGUUCCGUGCCGUAGCUAACGCUUUAAGUACCCCGCCUGGGGAGUACGGCCGCAAGGCUAAAACUCAAAGGAAUUGACGGGGCCCCGCACAAGCGGCGGAGCAUGCGGAUUAAUUCGAUGCAACGCGUAGAACCUUACCUGGGUUUGACAUGGAUCGGGAGCGCUCAGAGAUGGGUGUGCCUCUUUUGGGGUCGGUUCACAGGUGGUGCAUGGCUGUCGUCAGCUCGUGUCGUGAGAUGUUGGGUUAAGUCCCGCAACGAGCGCAACCCUUGUUCACUGUUGCCAGCACGUUAUGGUGGGGACUCAGUGGAGACCGCCGGGGUCAACUCGGAGGAAGGUGGGGAUGACGUCAAGUCAUCAUGCCCCUUAUGUCCAGGGCUUCACGCAUGCUACAAUGGCUGGUACAGAGAGUGGCGAGCCUGUGAGGGUGAGCGAAUCUCGGAAAGCCGGUCUCAGUUCGGAUUGGGGUCUGCAACUCGACCUCAUGAAGUCGGAGUCGCUAGUAAUCGCAGAUCAGCAACGCUGCGGUGAAUACGUUCCCGGGGCU